GACGAACGCUGGCGGCGUGCUUAACACAUGCAAGUCGAACGGAAAGGCCCUGCUUUUGUGGGGUGCUCGAGUGGCGAACGGGUGAGUAACACGUGAGUAACCUGCCCUUGACUUUGGGAUAACUUCAGGAAACUGGGGCUAAUACCGGAUAGGAGCUCCUGCUGCAUGGUGGGGGUUGGAAAGUUUCGGCGGUUGGGGAUGGACUCGCGGCUUAUCGGCUUGUUGGUGGGGUAGUGGCUUACCAAGGCUUUGACGGGUAGCCGGCCUGAGAGGGUGACCGGCGACAUGGGGACUGAGAUACGGCGCAGACGCCUACGGGAGGCAGCAGGGGGGAAUAUUGCACAAUGGGCGGAAGCCUGAUGCAGCAACGCCGCGUGCGGGAUGACGGCCUGCGGGUUGUAAACCGCUUUCGCCUGAGACGAAGCGUGAGUGACGGUAAUGGGUAAAGAAGCACCGGCUAACUACGUG
RNAcentral lists this ribosomal RNA (468 nucleotides) under uncultured bacterium. RNAcentral describes it as "partial 16S ribosomal RNA". It matches the Rfam family "Bacterial small subunit ribosomal RNA", at positions 28 to 507 of the family's 1533-position model. The record is from RNAcentral.